Molecule: ribosomal RNA, 482 nt
Filed under: uncultured bacterium
Lineage: Bacteria
Description: partial 16S ribosomal RNA
Rfam family: Bacterial small subunit ribosomal RNA
Source: RNAcentral
AUUGAACGCUGGCGGCAUGCUUUACACAUGCAAGUCGAACGGUAACAGGCCGCAAGGUGCUGACGAGUGGCGAACGGGUGAGUAAUGCAUCGGAACGUGCCCAGUCGUGGGGGAUAACUACUCGAAAGAGUAGCUAAUACCGCAUACGAUCUAUGGAUGAAAGCGGGGGACCGUAAGGCCUCGCGCGAUUGGAGCGGCCGAUGUCAGAUUAGGUAGUUGGUGGGGUAAAGGCUCACCAAGCCAACGAUCUGUAGCUGGUCUGAGAGGACAACCAGCCACACUGGGACUGAGACACGGCCCAGACUCCUACGGGAGGCAGCAGUGGGGAAUUUUGGACAAUGGGCGCAAGCCUGAUCCAGCAAUGCCGCGUGCAGGAAGAAGGCCUUCGGGUUGUAAACUGCUUUUGUACGGAACGAAACGGCUCUGGUUAAUACCCGGGGCUAAUGACGGUACCGUAAGAAUAAGCACUGGCUAACUACGUG